This 253-nucleotide ribosomal RNA is filed under the name uncultured bacterium. RNAcentral describes it as "partial 16S ribosomal RNA". It matches the Rfam family "Bacterial small subunit ribosomal RNA", at positions 524 to 776 of the family's 1533-position model. The record is from RNAcentral.
UACGAAGGGGGCUAGCGUUGCUCGGAAUCACUGGGCGUAAAGCGCACGUAGGCGGAUCUUUAAGUCAGGGGUGAAAUCCUGGAGCUCAACUCCAGAACUGCCUUUGAUACUGGGGAUCUCGAGUCCGGGAGAGGUGAGUGGAACUCCGAGUGUAGAGGUGAAAUUCGUAGAUAUUCGGAAGAACACCAGUGGCGAAGGCGGCUCACUGGCCCGGUACUGACGCUGAACAGCGAAAGCCAGGGGAGCAAACGGG